UUCUUGUUGUUGUUAUUCAGUUUUCUCAGAACAACAAACUCAUCGUCUUCGUCUCGAGCUGCGAGGCUGUCGAGUUCCUCCACUCUCUUUUCACCUCCGUCCUCUCGGGGCCCUCGACCAAUCAUAAGCCUCGGAUCAGCUUCAUGCGUCUCCAUGGCAACAUGAAGCAGGAGGAGCGCUCGGAGGUCUUCCAGCAGUUUUCAGGGUCUCGGUCUGGAGUCCUGCUGUGCACGGAUGUAGCAGCUCGAGGUCUGGACCUCCCUCAGGUCACCUGGAUUGUUCAGGUAAUCAUUAAGUGACCAGUGGGUCUGUGUGGGGUAUUUUCGGGUCAAGCAGCACCAGGGGCCUCAUGUACAAAUAC
Long non-coding RNA from Larimichthys crocea (large yellow croaker), 361 nucleotides. RefSeq lists it as uncharacterized. The record is from RefSeq and is a predicted model, not a curated record. NCBI's taxonomy places the organism in Eukaryota, Metazoa, Chordata, Actinopteri, Sciaenidae. The transcript is spliced from 3 exons.